CAGCAGCCGCGGGAAUACGUAGGGUGCGAGCGUUAAUCGGAAUUACUGGGCGUAAAGCGGGCGCAGACGGUUACUUAAGCAGGAUGUGAAAUCCCCGGGCUCAACCUGGGAACUGCGUUCUGAACUGGGUGACUAGAGUGUGUCAGAGGGAGGUAGAAUUCCACGUGUAGCAGUGGAAUGCGUAGAGAUGUGGAGGAAUACCGAUGGCGAAGGCAGCCUCCUGGGAUAACACUGACGUUCAUGCCCGAAAGCGUGGGUAGCAAACAGGAUUAGAUACCCGAGUAGUCCCUGUCUCUUAUAC
This 301-nucleotide ribosomal RNA is filed under the name uncultured bacterium. RNAcentral's name for it is "partial 16S ribosomal RNA". It matches the Rfam family "Bacterial small subunit ribosomal RNA", at positions 509 to 807 of the family's 1533-position model. The record is from RNAcentral.